This 380-nucleotide ribosomal RNA is filed under the name Limnodriloides anxius. RNAcentral describes it as "partial 12S ribosomal RNA". It matches the Rfam family "Microsporidia small subunit ribosomal RNA", at positions 752 to 1217 of the family's 1311-position model. Lineage: Eukaryota; Metazoa; Annelida; Clitellata; Tubificida; Naididae. The record is from RNAcentral.
UCCUGACCUAAAAAAGAGCUGGACAGUACAAAUAACCAUUUAAAAUCCAAAGAACUUGGCGGCGUUCAAACCACUCAGGGGAACCUGUCCCUUAAUUCGAUACUCCACGUAUGCCUUACCUAUCCUAGAAAUAUUCAGUCUGUGUACUGCCGUCAUAAGCACACCUCAGAGAGCAAGUGUACAAUCACUACGCCCAUAUUCAUGUCAGGUCUAAGUGCAGCCAAUGGAUAGGGGGAGAUGGGUUACAUUAAUAAUUAUUACCGCCUCAAACACUCAAUAAAGUGCUAAAAGCUGGACUUGAUAGUAAUUAAUUAAACUUAACAUUCAUGAAACCGAAUCUAGAACGUGCACACAUCGCCCGUCGCUCUCGUCGAAAGAUG